Sapajus apella (tufted capuchin) is the source of this 121-nucleotide ribosomal RNA. The record is from RefSeq and is a predicted model, not a curated record. NCBI's taxonomy places the organism in Eukaryota, Metazoa, Chordata, Mammalia, Primates, Cebidae.
GUCUAUGGCCAUACCACCCUGAACGCACCCGAUCUUGUCUGACCUCGGAAGCUAAGCAGGGUUGGGCCUGGUUAGUACUUGGAUGGGAGACCACCUGGGGGGAUACCGGGUGCUGUAGGCU